GUAGGUGGCAAGCGGGGGGGGGGGGGUUGUCCGGAAUUAUUGGGCGUAAAGCGCGCGCAGGCGGUUCUUUAAGUCUGAUGUGAAAGCCCACGGCUCAACCGUGGAGGGUCAUUGGAAACUGGAGAACUUGAGUACAGAAGAGGAAAGCGGAAUUCCACGUGUAGCGGUGAAAUGCGUAGAGAUGUGGAGGAACACCAGUGGCGAAGGCGGCUUUCUGGUCUGUAACUGACGCUGAGGCGCGAAAGCGUGGGGAGCAAACAGGGAUUAGAUACCCUGGUAGUCCACGCCGUAAACGAUGAGUGCUAAGUGUUAGGGGGGUUUCCGCCCCCCUUAGUGCUGCAGCUAACGCAUUAAGCACUCCGCCUGGGGAGUACGGCCGCAAGGCUG
This 387-nucleotide ribosomal RNA is filed under the name uncultured organism. RNAcentral describes it as "partial 16S ribosomal RNA". It matches the Rfam family "Bacterial small subunit ribosomal RNA", at positions 514 to 896 of the family's 1533-position model. The record is from RNAcentral.